Long non-coding RNA from Amborella trichopoda, 411 nucleotides. RefSeq lists it as uncharacterized. Lineage: Eukaryota; Viridiplantae; Streptophyta; Magnoliopsida; Amborellales; Amborellaceae. The record is from RefSeq and is a predicted model, not a curated record.
UAGCGCGUUUCUCUCUCUUGCUAAAAACCCCUCUCACUUUAUAAAACCCUAAAUCCAUCUCUUUCCAUUUCUCUUUCUCUUCUAAUACCCUAGGGUUUCACACUUUCUCUUCACCAGUGCUUCAACAUCGUGUUCUUCAUCACUAAUGAAGUUUUGGGUUCACCCUGGGGGUUGCGAGGGGCUGGAGAAGAGGACAUGGACAUCCAUAGGCUCCUUCAUACAAGAGUAAUAACCUACGGUUUUUUAGGGCGGACAACUGGGCACUCGUGGCUAGUAGUUGAAGAUUCAAGCUUGGAAAGAAAGGCCUUAUCCUGAUAGUAGGUGUCUAGUGGCGGUGGCCACGUUGUGAUCUUAUUGGAAGUAUUGUAAUUUAUUUAUUGGGCCUAUAGUGCCUUGAACAUAUUUGUAAUG